This 337-nucleotide unclassified non-coding RNA is filed under the name soil metagenome. RNAcentral's name for it is "partial contains 5.8S ribosomal RNA, internal transcribed spacer 2, and large subunit ribosomal RNA". The stretch from base 1 to 120 matches the Rfam family "5.8S ribosomal RNA", at positions 35 to 154 of the family's 154-position model. The record is from RNAcentral.
GAUGAAGAACGCAGCGAAAUGCGAUAAGUAGUGUGAAUUGCAGAAUUCAGUGAAUCAUCGAAUCUUUGAACGCACAUUGCGCCCCUUGGUAUUCCAUGGGGCAUGCCUGUUCGAGCGUCAUUUGUACCUUCAAGCUCUGCUUGGUGUUGGGUGUUUGUCUCGCCUCUGCGUGUAGACUCGCCUCAAAACAAUUGGCAGCCGGCGUAUUGAUUUCGGAGCGCAGUACAUCUCGCGCUUUGCACUCUUAACGACGACGUCCAAAAGUACAUUUUUACACUCUUGACCUCGGAUCAGGUAGGGAUACCCGCUGAACUUAAGCAUAUCAAUAAGCGGAGGA